AAUAUUUUAUUUUGCAUAUAACUAUAGUAAAAUUUAAUUAUUAUUAAAAAUUUAAUUUAGAAAAAAAAAUUAUUUAUUUUUUUUAGUAACAAUAAAAAAUAUAUUUAAAUUUUAUAUUGAUAUAAUGAUUCUAAGAAUUAAAGUUUGUUUAUAAAAUAUUAAAUAAUAUUAGUUAUUUUAUUUUUUUAAAAUUUAUUAAAAAUUAAUAAAUUUAAAAUCUUUUAGAUUAUUAUAUAAUUAUAUUUUAUAAUUUAUUUUUAAAAUUUAUUUUUUUAAAAUAAGUAAAAUUUGAGAUAUUAUUUUGAUUUUAUGAUGUUUUUUUAAAUGUUUUUUUCUGCCCAAUGUUAGUAUUAAUGGCGCUUUUAGCGUGAGGAGCUUAUAGUAGCACAUGUUACUUGUUUUUUUAUUAAAUCCGGGGAUGAAUGAAAGAUUCAAAUUUGAUGUAAAUUAUAUUUUUAGAAUUUAAUAAAAAUUUAAUAAUUAAUUUUUUUUUUAAAACUAAGAAAAGUCUUUGGAAAUUUAUUUUUUAUAAAUAUUAUAAAAAUUUUUUUUGGAAUAAGAUUUAAUAAAAAAAUUAAACUUUGAAAUAUUAAUUAAAAUUUCUUCAGAGUUAACAGGAUUUGAAUAUUAUUAUUUAAUAUUUUUUUACUUUUACAUCGAUGUUGUUUUUAAUUUAAUUAUAUUAAAAGAAGAUUAUAUUUAAAAAAGACUGUUCUUCUAUUAUGAUUAACUUGAAAUUAGUUUAAUUCGUCGUAAGGUAGAGUUGUUUAUCUAGUUUAUAAAUUUUAAAAAUAAUUUCCUGUACGAAAGGAAAGAAAUUAAGAUUAAAUUUUUAUUAUU
RNAcentral lists this ribosomal RNA (840 nucleotides) under Radopholus similis. RNAcentral describes it as "large subunit ribosomal RNA". Lineage: Eukaryota; Metazoa; Nematoda; Chromadorea; Rhabditida; Pratylenchidae. The record is from RNAcentral.